GAUGAACGCUGGCGGCGUGCCUAAUACAUGCAAGUCGAGCGAACGGACGAGAAUCUUUCUUCUCUGAUUUUAGCGGCUGACGUGUGAGUAACACGUUGAUAACCUACCUAUAAUACUUUUAUAACUUCGUGAAACCUGAUCUAAUACCGUAUGAUAUUUUGAACCUCAUUGUUCAAAAGUGAAAUACGGUCUUUCUUUCUCUUAUAGAUGGAUCCGCGCUGCAUUAGCUAGUUGGUAAGGUAACGUCUUACCAAGGCAACGAUGCAUAGCCGACCUGAGAGGGGGAUCGGCAACACUGGAACUGAGACACGGUCAAGAGGACUACGGGAGGAAGCAGUAGGGAAUCUUCAGAAAUGGGCGAAAGAAUGACGGAGCAAAGCAGCGUGAGAGAUGAAGGUAUUCGGAUCGUAAAACUAUGUUAAUAGGGAAGAAAAAAUGUGUAAGUAAAUGUGCACAUAUUGACGGUAACUAAUCAGAAAGAAACGGCUAACUACGUG
RNAcentral lists this ribosomal RNA (497 nucleotides) under uncultured bacterium. Its description in RNAcentral is "partial 16S ribosomal RNA". It matches the Rfam family "Bacterial small subunit ribosomal RNA", at positions 28 to 507 of the family's 1533-position model. The record is from RNAcentral.